Molecule: ribosomal RNA, 740 nt
Filed under: Streptomyces badius
Lineage: Bacteria; Bacillati; Actinomycetota; Actinomycetes; Kitasatosporales; Streptomycetaceae
Description: bacterial SSU rRNA
Rfam family: Bacterial small subunit ribosomal RNA
Source: RNAcentral
GCUUCGGUGGUGGAUUAGUGGCGAACGGGUGAGUAACACGUGGGCAAUCUGCCCUUCACUCUGGGACAAGCCCUGGAAACGGGGUCUAAUACCGGAUAACACUCUGUCCCGCAUGGGACGGGGUUGAAAGCUCCGGCGGUGAAGGAUGAGCCCGCGGCCUAUCAGCUUGUUGGUGGGGUAAUGGCCUACCAAGGCGACGACGGGUAGCCGGCCUGAGAGGGCGACCGGCCACACUGGGACUGAGACACGGCCCAGACUCCUACGGGAGGCAGCAGUGGGGAAUAUUGCACAAUGGGCGAAAGCCUGAUGCAGCGACGCCGCGUGAGGGAUGACGGCCUUCGGGUUGUAAACCUCUUUCAGCAGGGAAGAAGCGAAAGUGACGGUACCUGCAGAAGAAGCGCCGGCUAACUACGUGCCAGCAGCCGCGGUAAUACGUAGGGCGCAAGCGUUGUCCGGAAUUAUUGGGCGUAAAGAGCUCGUAGGCGGCUUGUCACGUCGGAUGUGAAAGCCCGGGGCUUAACCCCGGGUCUGCAUUCGAUACGGGCUAGCUAGAGUGUGGUAGGGGAGAUCGGAAUUCCUGGUGUAGCGGUGAAAUGCGCAGAUAUCAGGAGGAACACCGGUGGCGAAGGCGGAUCUCUGGGCCAUUACUGACGCUGAGGAGCGAAAGCGUGGGGAGCGAACAGGAUUAGAUACCCUGGUAGUCCACGCCGUAAACGUUGGGAACUAGGUGUUGGCGACAU